This 386-nucleotide ribosomal RNA is filed under the name uncultured bacterium. RNAcentral's name for it is "bacterial SSU rRNA". It matches the Rfam family "Bacterial small subunit ribosomal RNA", at positions 30 to 418 of the family's 1533-position model. The record is from RNAcentral.
AUUGAACGCUGGCGGCAUGCCUUACACAUGCAAGUCGAACGGCAGCACGGGAGCAAUCCUGGUGGCGAGUGGCGAACGGGUGAGUAAUAUAUCGGAACGUGCCCAGUCGUGGGGAUAACGUAGCGAAAGCUACGCUAAUACCGCAUACGAUCUACGGAUGAAAGCGGGGGAUCGCAAGACCUCGCGCGAUUGGAGCGGCCGAUAUCAGAUUAGGUAGUUGGUGAGGUAAAGGCUCACCAAGCCGACGAUCUGCAGCUGGUCUGAGAGGACGACCAGCCACACUGGGACUGAGACACGGCCCAGACUCCUACGGGAGGCAGCAGUGGGAAUUUUGGACAAUGGGCGCAAGCCUGAUCCAGCAAUGCCGCGUGCAGGAUGAAGGCCUU